Long non-coding RNA from Cucumis melo (muskmelon), 308 nucleotides. RefSeq lists it as uncharacterized. The transcript has 3 exons. Lineage: Eukaryota; Viridiplantae; Streptophyta; Magnoliopsida; Cucurbitales; Cucurbitaceae. The record is from RefSeq and is a predicted model, not a curated record.
UUCACCCUUCUCCAUCAUCUUUCUCAAAUUUCUUUCACCCUUCUCAAUCUCAUCACUUUCUUCCCUCUCUUCUUCGACAGCUGCCGCCACCACCACCAGCAUACAUCAGAUUCUUCCAUCCCUGUUGUCGUCGUCAGUUUCUUCCAUCCCUUUUUGAAUAUUGCUCACAAACCAAGAGAUUUGGGACCGAUCUUGCACAAAAACCUGUCGGAACAUCGCUACCUUGUCGGAACAUCGCUACCUUGUCGUAAGAUUAGGGCAGUUUGCAGUUUGAAGGUAGUCUCUUCUUUUAUAUCAGUUUGCAGAAA